This 364-nucleotide unclassified non-coding RNA is filed under the name uncultured Sordariomycetes. RNAcentral's name for it is "sequence contains ITS1". The stretch from base 1 to 105 matches the Rfam family "5.8S ribosomal RNA", at positions 50 to 154 of the family's 154-position model. Lineage: Eukaryota; Fungi; Ascomycota; Sordariomycetes. The record is from RNAcentral.
GAAAUGCGAUAAGUAAUGUGAAUUGCAGAAUUCAACGAAUCAUCGAAUCUUUGAACGCACAUUGCGCCCGUUGGUAUUCCGACGGGCAUGCCCGUUCGAGCGUCAUUUCAAUUCCUUCCCGGAGGACUCUUCUAAUAAAAUUUUUUUUUUUUUUAGUGGGGUCCCGCGGGGCGUUGGCACUGGGCGCCACCUUUUUUGGAGGCGGCCGGAGCCGAAAUAAAGCGGCGGACGCGCGGCGGCCCCUAGCGCAGUAGAAUACCCUUCUCGCUUGGGAGACCUGCAGCGGCGGACCACAGCCCUACAACGCAUUAAAGCUAUAUAAAAACUUGACCUCGAAUCGGGUAGGACUACCCGCUGAACUUAA